Molecule: ribosomal RNA, 63 nt
Filed under: Amnibacterium flavum
Lineage: Bacteria; Bacillati; Actinomycetota; Actinomycetes; Micrococcales; Microbacteriaceae
Source: RNAcentral
UUCGGCGGCCAUAGCGAGAGGGAAACGCCCGGUCACAUUCCGAACCCGGAAGCUAAGACUCUC